UGAAGACUAGUCUAAUGCACUAGCAAUAUGUCAAUAGCCCUCCUACAGCACUUGCCCCAGUGUAAGCACAUGGAUGAUGGUGUGGAGCUCCCAUUGUAGUCCAGCGCAUGAUGAGUUUACAGGACUGAGCCCAAGGUGCAGGACCCAAGGAGGAGGGCAAAUCUGGAUCUGUGCUACCCUUAUAUCCCCUCUCUCCAAUCCUGAGGAAGGGGCCAGUCCCUUGCACAAGUGGCUGAAGUUUGAGUGUCAUAUCACAGCACUCCAGUGUGGAGGUCAAGUAUGAAGUGAUUAGUGAGGUCCAUAUCAGAGGAAAGGAAACAAAUAGAGAACACCUGACACUCCAGGAGCUGCUACUUCAGAGUGAACAGAUACAAGCUCAUAAUAGAGUGGUAACAUCAUAACUCCAGAG
Molecule: long non-coding RNA, 409 nt
Organism: Chelonia mydas (Green sea turtle)
Lineage: Eukaryota; Metazoa; Chordata; Testudines; Cheloniidae
Exons: 3
Source: RefSeq, a predicted model, not a curated record